This is a regulatory RNA element of 201 nucleotides. It matches the Rfam family "Baculoviridae Nucleocapsid Assembly essential Element". From Rfam's summary of the family: Internal cis-element within the ac83 gene. The record is from Rfam.
CAUUUUGCGGCAUCGUAUAUUGGCGAUAUACUACACAAUGACGAAUGUUCUACACUUUUGACACAAAUUCAUGAUUCAUAUACUACACUUUCCCAAAAAUAUACUACACUCGACUCUAAAUAUACGUACGAAAACGUAAAAAACGAAAAAUUCGUCGAACAAUACGGGACGAAUAUACACAAAAAUGAACACUACGAUUUA